AAAAAAAAAAAAUAAUAAGUUUCAUAUGCUAAUGGCUGUCAUGGCCUUUACCUUUACAUAACAGUGGCAAUGGUUGUUACAAUAACAACAAAAAGUUUUGCCCUUUACAUAAUGGGGAUAACAGCAUAGGUACCCCCCAUAACCUUUAUAUAACAACCGUUACAUUACAUAAUGACCAUUUUUUAAAUCUAUUAUCCGAAGCCAUAAUAUUGUUACAUGUUAAUGAACAGCAGUUCUGAAAAGAAAAUGCAGAACCUUGCCACAUAGUGUAGGUUUAUCAACCCUUUCUCAACUCCCUUGAUUUUUUGGAUGACAUUUUAAAUCACAGAAGAAAGCAUGAAACUGAACUUCCAAGAAACACUUGUCUUCUACCUUUUUUUGCACCACAAAUGGUCUCCUUGUCCAGAUGCAUGUUUACAGUCUUAAUAUCCUUAAAAUUUUAAUCAU
This 447-nucleotide unclassified non-coding RNA is filed under the name Hevea brasiliensis (rubber tree). Lineage: Eukaryota; Viridiplantae; Streptophyta; Magnoliopsida; Malpighiales; Euphorbiaceae. The record is from RNAcentral.